GUUUAAAGAUAGUUUUGUAUGACUGCUUUAAGUGGUUGUGUGAAUUUAGACAGUAAAAUGCACAGGAUUCAGUGAUCCAGUAAUUCACUAAUUCAGUUUCCCUCUCUCGAAAACUCAAAACAUGUAUUUUAAAAGUCCUUCUUGUCAGUAGGGUAAAUGUACACCUCUGUAAAAACUCUCUCUCAGUAGAAGUGUGCCGGUAUUUAUUUCCGGUUGUUUCUGUUUUGUAGCUAUGCACUUUUGGAUGUCGCACACUGGGCUGCAGCAUCUUCACAUUUGACCGGCGUUUGCACCACCUGCGGUUCGCCCUCAGUGCCAUGUUGGAGCGUCAUGCCAGCGCACACUUGUGGAAGAAAAUGCCUCAAGUAUCAUCAGGUCUCAGGUCGCGUCAUGUCACACCUCCAACCAUAGGAACCCCUGUCAGGGCUGGCGAUAGACCCUCCAAAUCCACCGUCUCUCUCUGCCUUGAGUCUACCUCACUGGGACAACAGGAAACCAAAAGUAGUCAACGGAACUGUCACAGUACCAAGCCGCCUUAUUCCUCCACCUCUGCGAGCCUCGGGUCUGGUAGGCGGCGCAGCCCCGCUGAGCGACCCAGCAAGACUCAGCUGAAGGAGGUGGAGCUUAUGCAAGAUGCAAGCGCAGCACACAGAGCUGCCAAGCUGUUAUACAGCGGUGAGGACAAAUCCUGCAGAUUCAUCAGGGAUCCCCCCCUCCACGAGAAGAGCCAGCCUCACGUCCCCUCCUCUCAAGGACCAGCCAGCAGUACUUUCUCACACGGGAAGAAGCCAUGUCCUCCUCUUCUCCUGAAGCCUGCAGAGAGAAAGUUAUCCGUUUUGGAAAAGUGCUCCCCUCUGGCUGCACCAGCAAACCGCUCUCCUCGCAGCAGAGCGAAGCCCCCAGCCGUUCAGCAGAAAGUCGGGGGCUUUGACCACAGGGGUCCGGCCCAGAAGCGCAAACACAGCAGUGAGUCCCUGCCGCUCAGCUCCUCACUGUCCAGAACCACCAAGUAUAAAUGUUUGCCCUCCCCUUCCCGUUCAAGCCUUGUUUCCUGGAAGGGAGAGAAUAUCGAGGAUGUGCUUACUUGGGGCUUGGAGAAAAGAUCAGACCCGUAAAAGAACCUUUUGUGAAAUAGGCUGCACUCCGUCAGUUUUAUUAUGAUGUGGAUUCAUUCCCUUAAAAAAAGACAUGAGUGGAAUCAACAUCUUGAUUUGAACUGAACUGUGAUUUGUUUUUUAGCAACACCAUUUGUAAGUGACGGUUGUUUACGCUCAUCUUCGCAGCCAACAAAGAGGCCAGCCUUAAAAAGACCACUUGGAGAAAAGGCCCACUGAAGGCUGCAGCUACUGACAGGAUCGUGUGAGUGUUUGAAUGUGUGUGUUUGUAAGUGUGCACGUCUCUUUGUUUAUUUAUCUACACUUUUUAUGCACAGCUGUCAGGAACAAGUAUUUGUAUGCACAUUACUGUAUUUGUGUAUUAUUGCAAAGUUUUCUAUUUUUCUACAGGACGAAAUGAGUUGAAUAUCUGUGUAAGAACAUCAACAUACCUCAGUCUGCUCAUUAUGCUGCUAAUGUUAA
Long non-coding RNA from Amphiprion ocellaris (clown anemonefish), 1577 nucleotides. The record is from Ensembl. NCBI's taxonomy places the organism in Eukaryota, Metazoa, Chordata, Actinopteri, Pomacentridae.